RNAcentral lists this ribosomal RNA (385 nucleotides) under uncultured eukaryote. Its description in RNAcentral is "SSU rRNA". It matches the Rfam family "Eukaryotic small subunit ribosomal RNA", at positions 675 to 1064 of the family's 1831-position model. The record is from RNAcentral.
UGUACUGCUGCGGCUCACCUUUCUGCUGGGGACGGGCUCCUGGGCUUAACUGUCUGGGAUUCGGAAUCAGCGAAGUGACCUUGAGCAAAAGAGAGUGUUCAAAGCAAGCCUACGCUCUGAAUCCUUUAGCAUGGAAUCACACGAUAGGACUCUGGCCUAUCUUGUUGGUCUGUAGGACCGGAGUAAUGAUUAAGAGGGACAGUCGGGGGCAUUCGUAUUUCAUUGUCAGAGGUGAAAUUCUUGGAUUUAUGAAAGACGAACAUCUGCGAAAGCAUUUGCCAAGGAUGUUUUCAUUGAUCAAGAACGAAAGUUGGGGGCUCGAAGACGAUUAGAUACCGUCGUAGUCUCAACCAUAAACGAUGCCGACUAGGGAUUGGCAGGUGUU